Molecule: unclassified non-coding RNA, 21 nt
Filed under: Chlamydomonas reinhardtii
Lineage: Eukaryota; Viridiplantae; Chlorophyta; Chlorophyceae; Chlamydomonadales; Chlamydomonadaceae
Description: small RNA Cre_2754
Source: RNAcentral
UCGUGUUCUGCUUGCUGCUGG